UACGUAGGGGGCGAGCGUUGUCCGGAUUUAUUGGGCGUAAAAGGCUUGUAGGUGGCCACGUCAAGUCGGAUGUGAAAUCUCCCGGCUCAACUGGGAGGGGUCAUUCGAUACUGGCGGGCUCGAGGCCGGUAGGGGGAAGCGGAAUUCCCGGUGUAGUGGUGGAAUGCGUAGAUAUCGGGAGGAACACCAGUGGCGAAGGCGGCUUCCUGGACCGGUUCUGACACUGAGGAGCGAAAGCGUGGGGAGCGAACAGG
Molecule: ribosomal RNA, 254 nt
Filed under: uncultured bacterium
Lineage: Bacteria
Description: partial 16S ribosomal RNA
Rfam family: Bacterial small subunit ribosomal RNA
Source: RNAcentral